Molecule: ribosomal RNA, 1577 nt
Filed under: Levanderina fissa
Lineage: Eukaryota; Dinophyceae
Description: eukaryotic LSU rRNA
Rfam family: Eukaryotic large subunit ribosomal RNA (bases 655-1577)
Source: RNAcentral
GUCGUAACAAGGUUUCCGUAGGUGAACCUGCGGAAGGAUCAUUCACACAUAUCCAGAUUCAUCACCUGAACCGCAUAUGUGAGAUCGUGCGUGGGGCUUUGCCGCCUCCCGUAUGUUCUCGGGGGUGGUGGGGUAAGGAGUGUGCAUUGGCCCACGUCCUCUGCUUCCAUCACCAAUGUGCAACCACUGUGAAUCCCGGUGUUUCAAUGUGUUGGCUCACACCAACGCAACUGAUUUCUCUUUACAACUUUCAGCGAUGGAUGUCUCGGCUCGAACAACGAUGAAGGGCGCAGCGAAGUGUGAUAAGCAUUGUGACUUGCAGAAUUCCGUGAACCAACAGGGAUUCGAACGUAUACUGCGCUUUCGGGAUACCCCUGAAAGCAUGCCUGCUUCAGUGUCUACUCUUUUCUCAUGCCGCUGCUUUGCUUCACCAUCUCGUGUGGUGGCUCACGCAUUGCCAGCUGUGCGUCUCUGCGCAUCAGGGGGUGCUUCCGUCUUUGGUGGUGGCUGCAACCCUGAUGUGUGAAGUGCGCGUUGGCUGCCCUGGCCAGCAACUUACUGAACACCUCACGGUGCUUCAUAAGCUGCUGCAGGGAAUGGGCCGACGCAAGUUCGGUUGCUGAGCAUUGCCGAUGCGCAUUGCUCUUCUCACCCAGACAUGAAGUUAGGUCAGCAAACCCGCUGAAUUUAAGCAUAUAAGUAAGCGGUGGAUAAGAAACUAAAUAGGAUUCCCUCAGUAAUGGCGAAUGAACAGGGAUGAGCUCAGCAUCGAAAUUUGGGCUUCUGGCCUUGAAUUGUAAUUUCGAGUGGUUCCACCAACGGAGGCGCAGAUGUAAGCCUCUUGGAAAAGAGCAUCAACGAGGGCGAGAGUCCCGUUCGUCAUUUGCAGUCCUCCGUGUACGGUGUGCCUACUAAGAGUCACGUUCCUCGGGAUUGGAGCGCAAAGCGGGUGGUAAAUUUCAUCCAAAGCUAAAUAUAGGUUCGAGACCGAUAGCAAACAAGUACCAUGAGGGAAAGAUGAAAAGGACUUUGGAAAGAGAGUUAAAAGUGCCUGAAAUUGCUGAAAGGGAAGCGAAUGGAACCAGUGUUUCUAGGUGAGAUUGUUGCGCGCUAAAGUGAUUGUAUGCUGCAUCAGCGCAAGCGUUGCGGUGUGCUCUGAUCUGGAUGUGCGUGGUGCUUCUCACCCUGCGUGUCAACGUCGGUUUGGAGUUGAGGAAAACUCAAGGGACAUGGUAAAUUGCUUGCAAUUGAAGGUGCCUUGCAGAACUCAUCUCUGGACUGAAGCUUGCGUGUCUUGUUGCAUGGUCUACCGGGUGCGUGGUGUCUCUCCAUGCGGUGAGCCACUGCCACCUCAGGCCAUCCCUUGACAUGGAAUGGUGACAAAAUGGUUUCACUCGACCCGUCUUGAAACACGGACCAAGGAGUCUAACAUAUGUGCAAGUCCCCGGGUGUUUAAACCUGCUGGCACAAUGAAAGUGACUGCUGGGAUAUUUGCACCAGCAACCGACUGAUCAAUUGAGAGAGGUUUGAGUAUGAGCACAUCUGUUAGGACCCGAAAGAUGGUGAACUAUGCGUGA